CAGCCGCCGCGGGAAUACGUAGGGUGCGAGCGUUAAUCGGAAUUACUGGGCGUAAAGCGUGCGCAGGCGGUUCGUUAAGACAGAUGUGAAAUCCCCGGGCUUAACCUGGGAACUGCAUUUGUGACUGGCGAGCUAGAGUAUGGCAGAGGGGGGUAGAAUUCCACGUGUAGCGGUGAAAUGCGUAGAGAUGUGGAGGAAUACCGAUGGCGAAGGCAGCCCCCUGGGCCAAUACUGACGCUCAUGCACGAAAGCGUGGGGAGCAAACAGGAUUAGAUACCCCCGUAGUCCCUGUCUCUUAUAC
This 301-nucleotide ribosomal RNA is filed under the name uncultured bacterium. RNAcentral's name for it is "partial 16S ribosomal RNA". It matches the Rfam family "Bacterial small subunit ribosomal RNA", at positions 509 to 807 of the family's 1533-position model. The record is from RNAcentral.